AGGCAGAGCCAUUUGAGGUAGUCUUUAUUAAAGGAAAAUGUCUAAGCCUGUGUGAGUGGACACAGGACAGGCAGUUGAGUAGGCCAACGCUGUGGGGCUCUCGUAUAUUCUCUGCACCAGGCCCACUCGGUUCCCGAGGCCUCUGCCGUCCUCUGGGAUGUGACUGUGAAGAGUGACAGAUUCACCAGAUUUUUUCCUUCCUUGCCCGUCACUACACUGGAGCCAAGCCACAGGUAACUCCCAGUUUUUUACUGAACCCCAGGUAGAGAUGUCUGUGUUGUGGGAGAGCAGAAACAUGUGUUCUCUGAAGCCAUCCUUUGCUGGCGAAAGGCCACGUGGUUGGGGAAGUAAGGCUGAAUUUGAAGUAAGGAUGCAAGGAAACGAUGGUGCCAGUACUGUCCAACUAGCCUGGGGAUACAAGGAGGGAGAGGAAGUCUGUUGUCACCGAGCUUUCCCUCCUGGGUAGCCAGGGUUAAGAUGUACCAACAAAACUGAGAUCGAAGUGUAUAAACCAACAAAUGUAAAAGAUUUCUAACAAUAAAUUGUUAUUUAGCCAUG
Molecule: long non-coding RNA, 558 nt
Filed under: Rattus norvegicus (Norway rat)
Lineage: Eukaryota; Metazoa; Chordata; Mammalia; Rodentia; Muridae
Description: long non-coding RNA NONRATT004919
Source: RNAcentral